RNAcentral lists this ribosomal RNA (342 nucleotides) under uncultured Actinomycetes bacterium. Its description in RNAcentral is "bacterial SSU rRNA". It matches the Rfam family "Bacterial small subunit ribosomal RNA", at positions 94 to 438 of the family's 1533-position model. Lineage: Bacteria; Bacillati; Actinomycetota; Actinomycetes. The record is from RNAcentral.
AGCGGCGAACGGGUGAGGAACACGUGAGAAAUCUGCCUUCAACACUGGGAUAACUCCGGGAAACCGGGGCUAAUACCGGAUAUGAAAUCUGCGGGCAUCCGCGGAUUUGGAAAGUUUUUCGGUUGAAGAUGAUCUCGCGGCCUAUCAGCUUGUUGGUGAGGUAAUGGCUCACCAAGGCGACGACGGGUAGCCGGCCUGAGAGGGCGACCGGCCACACUGGGACUGAGACACGGCCCAUACUCCUACGGGAGGCAGCAGUGGGGAAUAUUGGGCAAUGGAGGAAACUCUGACCCAUCUACGCCGCGUGCGGGAUGAAGGCCUUCGGGUUGUAAACCCCUUUCA